This 784-nucleotide ribosomal RNA is filed under the name uncultured beta proteobacterium. RNAcentral describes it as "bacterial SSU rRNA". The stretch from base 7 to 522 matches the Rfam family "Bacterial small subunit ribosomal RNA", at positions 36 to 538 of the family's 1533-position model. Lineage: Bacteria; Pseudomonadati; Pseudomonadota; Betaproteobacteria. The record is from RNAcentral.
AUCACCCUGGCGGAAUGCUUUACACCUGCACUCGAACGGCAGCACGGACUUCGGCUCUGGUGGCGAGUGGCGAACGGGUGAGUAAUAUAUCGGAACGUGCCCAGAUCGCUGGGGGAUAACGUAGUGAAAAUUACGCUAAUACCGCAUACGAUCUACGGAUGAAAGCGGGGGAUCGCAAGAUCUCGCGCGAUUGGAGCGGCCGAUAUCAGAUUAGGUAGUUGGUGAGGUAAAGGCUCACCAAGCCAACGAUCUGUAGCUGGUCUCGAGAGGACGACCAGCCACACUGGAACUGAGACACGGUCCAGACUCCUACGUGGAGUGCACGCAGUGGGGAAUUUUGGACAAUGGACGCAAGUCUGAUCCAGCCAUUCCGCGUGCAGGACGAAGGCCUUACGGGUUGUAAACUGCUCUUGUACAGAACGAAAAGGUUUCUAUUAAUACUAGAGAGCUCAUGACGGUACUGUAAGAAUAAGCACCGGCUAACUACGUGCCAGACACCCGCGGUAAUACGUAGGGUGCAAGCAGUUAACUCAGGAAUUACUGGGCGUACAGCGUGCGCCAGGCGGCUUAUGAUAAGACAGAGGGUGAAAAUCCCACGGGCUCAACCUGGAGGAAACAUUGACCUUUAGUGACUUGCCUACCAUUGGAGCUACAGCGCAAACAGAGGGGGAUGGAAAUUCCGGCAGAUGUUAACCAAGCUGAAAAUGCGUAGACUAUGCGCGGCAGGAACAACCGCAUUGGCGAACGGGCAACUCACCUGAGGCCCUGCUACCUACCGCUCCAU